Molecule: long non-coding RNA, 209 nt
Filed under: Gossypium raimondii (Peruvian cotton)
Lineage: Eukaryota; Viridiplantae; Streptophyta; Magnoliopsida; Malvales; Malvaceae
Description: long non-coding RNA (GRAI_LNC005668)
Source: RNAcentral
UCAUCCAUGUAUCAUUCACCAUUAUUUUAUCUAGUCACUCUCUAAUAUUUGUUUCUGGUAAAUUCCCCCUUUCCCAUGUAAACCAAACCCCAAAAUAUCUAACAUCCAUUAACUAACUUUCCUCCAAAACCCCUCUAAAAACCUUCAUUCUCCUUUCAUCUCUUAGCACCCCCAACUUUUUCAAAGGAGUACAUUAUCUCAUUAAAAUC